ACGGGGCCAUACAUCUGGGGAGGAUCCCCUAAUUCCAGGCUGAGGGUAACUGAGACCGUGGAAGGCAAAACCAUGGAUAAGGGAGGAAUACUGUAUACAAAAUCAUUGCCAUUGAGGUUUUGAUUGAUUUGCAUUUGCCUCUGCAAUGGAGAAACUGAGCAGUCACAAAGCAGUAGAUGAACAAUAAAGCGGCUGAAGCAGGAAAUACAAGGAGUUUCAUGGUAUUAGAUAAAACUUUCACCCUGGAUCUUGAUAGAACCAGAUCAUGGGAGGCCAGCAUCUUGCUUAUAGAUACUCUUGAAUGCUAUUGAAAGGCCCAUUAAAUUAAAUAUACAAACCCUUGGCAACAGGGGAUUGCCAUGAAUUUGACUGUUAUCUGCAGUGUGUCAGGAAAUACUUCGUGAUGUUUUCCUCAACAGUGACACAGAAAAUAAAUUGAAAUUAAUUGUUUUUAGUUGAUUAACUUUAUGGCAAUAUGCAUAUACUUUGGAGGUUAAGGAUGUUGGGAAAACAAGCAUCCACUGAAGAAGAAAUUGCAUGAGAAGCCUUGGAAGAGGAGAACUCUCACAUACAAGUGAGAGAGGCUUUGACAGUAAUGAGAGUAUUAAGGGCUGGACGGGCCCUUAAAUUGUGUUCAUUAAGUGGUGUAUGCCUUUUUUUUUUGUAAAGUUUAUUAAGACUCUUGAGA
Long non-coding RNA from Canis lupus familiaris (dog), 688 nucleotides. RefSeq lists it as uncharacterized. The record is from RefSeq and is a predicted model, not a curated record. The transcript is spliced from 3 exons. Lineage: Eukaryota; Metazoa; Chordata; Mammalia; Carnivora; Canidae.